This 253-nucleotide ribosomal RNA is filed under the name uncultured bacterium. RNAcentral's name for it is "partial 16S ribosomal RNA". It matches the Rfam family "Bacterial small subunit ribosomal RNA", at positions 524 to 776 of the family's 1533-position model. The record is from RNAcentral.
UACGUAGGUGGCAAGCGUUAUCCGGAUUUAUUGGGCGUAAAGGGAACGCAGGCGGUCUUUUAAGUCUGAUGUGAAAGCCUUCGGCUUAACCGGAGUAGUGCAUUGGAAACUGGGAGACUUGAGUGCAGAAGAGGAGAGUGGAACUCCAUGUGUAGCGGUGAAAUGCGUAGAUAUAUGGAAGAACACCAGUGGCGAAAGCGGCUCUCUGGUCUGUGACUGACGCUGAGGUUCGAAAGCGUGGGUAGCAGACAGG